GCUCUUAUGAAGUUAGCGGCGGACGGGAGAGAAACACGUGGGUAACCUGCCCAUAAGACUGGGAUAACUCCGGGAAACCGGGGCUAAUACCGGAUAACAUUUUGAACCGCAUGGUUCGAAAUUGAAAGGCGGCUUCGGCUGUCACUUAUGGAUGGACCCGCGUCGCAUUAGCUAGUUGGUGAGGUAACGGCUCACCAAGGCAACGAUGCGUAGCCGACCUGAGAGGGUGAUCGGCCACACUGGGACUGAGACACGGCCCAGACUCCUACGGGAGGCAGCAGUAGGGAAUCUUCCGCAAUGGACGAAAGUCUGACGGAGCAACGCCGCGUGAGUGAUGAAGGCUUUCGGGUCGUAAAACUCUGUUGUUAGGGAAGAACAAGUGCUAGUUGAAUAAGCUGGCACCUUGACGGUACCUAACCAGAAAGCCACGGCUAACUACGUGCCAGCAGCCGCGGUAAUACGUAGGUGGCAAGCGUUAUCCGGAAUUAUUGGGCGUAAAAGCGCGCGCAGGUGGUUUCUUAAGUCUGAUGGUGAAAGCCCACG
This 543-nucleotide ribosomal RNA is filed under the name Bacillus subtilis. RNAcentral describes it as "bacterial SSU rRNA". It matches the Rfam family "Bacterial small subunit ribosomal RNA", at positions 80 to 607 of the family's 1533-position model. The record is from RNAcentral. Lineage: Bacteria; Bacillati; Bacillota; Bacilli; Caryophanales; Bacillaceae.